This 242-nucleotide long non-coding RNA is filed under the name Pongo abelii (Sumatran orangutan). RNAcentral's name for it is "lincRNA". The record is from RNAcentral. Lineage: Eukaryota; Metazoa; Chordata; Mammalia; Primates; Hominidae.
AGAGUCGAGACAUCAACACAUGAAUCAGACAGGAUGAGAGGAAGAUAAGGCUAAAGACAGAGGCUCCAGCUACCUUGGUGACAAGGAAUGGAGGAGAAAAUGAACAGGAAAUUUUAAUAAGAUUAGGAGGGCUUGCUUUUCUGCCAAGUGAGAUGGAAACUUGCUCUGUUCCCCAGCCUGGAGUGCAGUGGUGCCAUCUCGGCUCACUGCAACCUCUGCCUCCCAGGUUCAAGCGAUUCUCC